This 599-nucleotide long non-coding RNA is filed under the name Ananas comosus (pineapple). RNAcentral describes it as "long non-coding RNA (ACOM_LNC018234)". The record is from RNAcentral. Lineage: Eukaryota; Viridiplantae; Streptophyta; Magnoliopsida; Poales; Bromeliaceae.
AAGUAAUUAAUUAAUUUAUUAUUUAUCAUUAAUUAAGUCAUUAAAAAUUAAUAUAUUAAUCAGCUUAUUCAAUAACCAAUAUUUAUAACCAUUAAUAUUUUGACUAAUCUAUUUAAUUUUUAACUAAUUAUCUAAAUAAAAUAAUUUACUAACUAAUUAAAAAGUUAAGUUAUUUAUAUAAUUAACUAAUAUUUAUAUUUAUUAAAUUAUUAAUUUAUUAUAAUAUUCAUAGCUAAUAAAUUUAUUAAUUUAUUGAAUUAUUUUUAAUUAAUAUUCUGAUGUUAAUUAAUUAGAUAAACUAAUUUUAAUUUAAAUUUAUAACUCGUAUUCCUCAUGUUCCAAUCUAACUAUCCAAACGACCUUUAUCUUAUUCACAGGGACAAAUUCAAUUUUCAUUCAAACGCAAAAUUGGUCUAGUUCCUCUUAAUACCUCAACUUGUAUAUAUAUCUGAAAUAAGCUAUUCUUACUUAUAUCCGAACCAAAUGCAGCCUAAAUUCUGAAACAAGCAGUUCUUAUUUAUAUCCGAACUAAAUGCAGCCUAAAUUCUGAAAUAAGCAGUUCUUAUUUAUAUCCUAACCAAAUACAGCCUAAAUUUUCC